AUGAGGCUGAAAGUUGAUAUCCGCAGGGAGGCUUUUGCUCUUCAAAGACGACGAAAGCCAUGAUUGCCACCAAAUUCUCCGUGCUUCAGCACGUGUGCAUCGUCCCCUUCGCACGUGCAACCCGCCAUCGUUCCUUCACCGUCUCCGCUUCCGCCUCCACCACUGCCUCGCCGUCGCGCAAUCUCACCGCCUCCUCCUCGCGUGCCCCUCACGUGGACCCUCGUGUCCUCCUCGGCAUGACCGAGCAUGACCUUCAACAACUCGCCGUCGAGUUCGGCCAGCAAAGCUACAGAGGAAAACAGCUACACCAUUUAAUUUACAAGAGGAAGGCAAAAGAAAUUCAAGAUUUUAGUCACUUGCCUCAAGCAUUUAGAAACGAUCUUAUAGAAGCUGGAUGGAAAAUAGGAAGGUCUCCAAUUUAUCACACUGUUACUGCUGCCGAUGGCACUGUUAAGUUAUUGAUAAAGUUGGAGGAUAAUAGAUUGAUCGAAACAGUUGGCAUUCCAGUUGAAGAUGAAAAGGGUUCAAUGAAACUUACUGCAUGUGUAUCAUCACAGGUAGGCUGCCCAUUACGCUGUUCAUUUUGUGCCACUGGAAAGGGAGGGUAUUCAAGGAAUCUUCAGAGGCAUGAAAUUAUCGAGCAGGUAUUGGCUAUUGAGGAUAUUUUCAAGCACAGGGUUACAAAUGUAGUCUUCAUGGGGAUGGGGGAGCCCAUGUUGAAUUUGAAGUCUGUACUUGACGCUCAUCGAUGCUUGAAUAAGGAUAUACAAAUUGGGCAAAGAAUGAUUACAAUUUCCACUGUGGGAGUUCCAAACACCAUAAGAAAACUAGCUUCUCACAAGCUUCAGUCAACAUUGGCUGUCAGCUUACAUGCUCCAAACCAGGAACUCAGGGAAAUGAUUGUGCCCAGUGCGAAAUCCUACCCCCUUGAUGCAAUCAUGAAGGACUGCCGAGAUUACUUUGCCGAAACCAGUCGACGAGUCUCCUUUGAGUAUGCACUGCUAGCUGGAGUGAAUGAUUCAGUAGAACAGGCACGAGAACUAGCUGAUCUACUGCAUGAGUGGGGACGUGGUUAUCAUGUUAAUCUGAUACCCUUCAAUCCGAUAGAGGGUUCUGAGUAUCGACGGCCAUACAAAAAAGCAGUGUCAGCAUUUGCAGGUGCACUUGAGUCCCGCAAGAUAACUGUUAGUAUUCGUCAAACAAGGGGUCUGGAUGCAAGUGCUGCCUGCGGUCAGCUAAGAAAUAACUUCCAGAAAAAUCCUCUGCUUAUUGAACCUGACCACAAGAAAUCGCAACCAGAUGUUGCAGUUGCGUGUUGAAUGCUGAUGCCAUGACUUGGGAUGGUGUGUUUUUGCCUUCAAUGUUGUAUGUAAAGGGAAGCAUGAUCGCUUUGAUGCUGGAGCUCUGCUGUCUAUGUAUUGUGGUGCAUUGAGUUCAGUACUGCCACAUGUUGCAGAAACUGCAAUGAAAACACGGUAAGGUUAUCGAAGAAAACUAGAGA
RNA transcript from Hibiscus syriacus, 1501 nucleotides. It is a transcript of the gene named probable dual-specificity RNA methyltransferase RlmN, with no coding region annotated. Lineage: Eukaryota; Viridiplantae; Streptophyta; Magnoliopsida; Malvales; Malvaceae. The transcript has 11 exons. The record is from RefSeq and is a predicted model, not a curated record.